GAUGAAGAACGCAGCGAAAUGCGAUAAGUAAUGUGAAUUGCAGAAUUCAGUGAAUCAUCGAAUCUUUGAACGCACAUUGCGCCCGCCAGUAUUCUGGCGAGCAUGCCUGUUCGAGCGUCAUUUCAACCAUCAAGCCCCCAGGGGCUUGUGCUGGGGCCCUGCGGCUGCCCGCAGGCCCUGAAAACCAGUGGCGGGCUCGCUAGUCACACCGAGCGCAGUAGCACAUCUCGCUCAGGGCGUGCGGCGGGCUCCUGCCGUGAAACCCCCCACUGUAACCCCAAAGGUUGACCUCGGAUCAGGUAGGAAUACCCGCUGAACUUAAGCAUAUCAAUAAGCGGAGGA
This 342-nucleotide unclassified non-coding RNA is filed under the name soil metagenome. Its description in RNAcentral is "partial contains 5.8S ribosomal RNA, internal transcribed spacer 2, and large subunit ribosomal RNA". The stretch from base 1 to 120 matches the Rfam family "5.8S ribosomal RNA", at positions 35 to 154 of the family's 154-position model. The record is from RNAcentral.